This 66-nucleotide transfer RNA is filed under the name Semisulcospira libertina. RNAcentral's name for it is "tRNA-His". It matches the Rfam family "tRNA". Rfam says of the family: Transfer RNA (tRNA) molecules are approximately 80 nucleotides in length. Their secondary structure includes four short double-helical elements and three loops (D, anti-codon, and T loops). Lineage: Eukaryota; Metazoa; Mollusca; Gastropoda; Semisulcospiridae. The record is from RNAcentral. RNAcentral also lists the same sequence under 2 other names.
GUUAAGUUAGUUUAAUUCAAAACAUUAGCUUGUGGCGCUAAAAAUGAAAAUCAGUUUUACUUAGCC